Molecule: ribosomal RNA, 373 nt
Filed under: uncultured bacterium
Lineage: Bacteria
Description: bacterial SSU rRNA
Rfam family: Bacterial small subunit ribosomal RNA
Source: RNAcentral
GUAGGGGGCAAGCGUUGUCCGGAUUUAUUGGGCGUAAAGCGCUCGCAGGUGGUUCGCGGCGUCGUGCGUGAAAGACCCCGGCUCAACUGGGGGGUGUCGUGCGAUACGGGCGGACUGGAGGCCAGUAGGGGGAUGCGGAAUUCCGGGUGUAGUGGUGGAAUGCGUAGAGAUCCGGAGGAACACCAGCGGCGAAGGCGGCAUCCUGGACUGGUCCUGACACUCAGGAGCGAAAGCGUGGGGAGCGAUCCGGAUUAGAUACCCGGGUAGUCCACGCUGUAAACGAUGCGCACUAGGUGUCGGGGGUAUCGACCCCCUCGGUGCCGCAGCUAACGCGAUAAGUGCGCCGCCUGGGGACUACGGCCGCAAGGCUAAA